Heterocephalus glaber (naked mole-rat) is the source of this 2748-nucleotide long non-coding RNA. Lineage: Eukaryota; Metazoa; Chordata; Mammalia; Rodentia; Bathyergidae. The record is from Ensembl.
GCCACCCCCGUCAUUAUUUGUCCGCAAGCCCUCAAGCCGCGUCCGCGCCCUGCCCGCCCGCGCCCCGGCCCGCCCCGCGCUCCCCAGAGCCUCGGCCCCCAGCUCGGGCGCCCCCCGCCUGCCUCGCUCGCUCCCCGGGGUCAGGCCGUUACCGUCGCGCGCUCCCUCCCUCCUCCCUCCUCCUCCCCGGGCCCGGGCCUGCCAGGCCGAGCGCUUUACCGCGGGCGGGCGCCGACUCGCGCGGUCACAGACUGCAGGCGGCGGAGGCUCCAACCUUCCUAGCGGCCAGCAGUAGAGAGGCAGACAUACCGCGGCUAGAGCGCCGCCGCGGUCGCCGCCACUGCCGGCGCGGUGCAUUGUGGGAAGCCCCGCACCAGAGAAGCGCUCCGAGGCGCCCGCCCUCGCCUGGCGCGGAGACUUGGCUGCAAGACCCAGCGAAGCUCCGGUUCCGGCGCCUGCGUGUCACCAGCCCAACUUGGCCGAGAAAACUGGAUCCGAGCUGUGGAUACCCCCGUUUGGGCCCAGGAGGAAAGCGACUGGAAGGAGAUCGCAACUGAGGAGGCCUCUCGGACUAGGGAGUGCUCCCACCUGCAGCCUCAAUCUCUGUCAGAUGCCUGGAGAAGUGGAGGGGUCGGGAGCCUUUCGGGACGGGGAAGUGAAAGGGGCGGGGACCUAGGUGAAAGGUUGUCUGCCAGAAUGUCUUGGCUUUUUCGUUUAACCUCACUUACCUAACUCCCUCCUCCGCCACCUCAGAUGCCACCUUUUCCUGAAGAUAAAGCCCUGCGCCCUUGAAACUCGCAAGCCUUGUUAGUGAGACGUAGUGUGACCCCAGAGAAACUGCAAGAGAGCCGGUCCUGGACACUCCUGAGCAGGGUCUUAGCGUAGUAUUUCGUGCUGAGUUCACCUGGAACCCAAAACUACGGCUGUAUGGCAGCAUAGACUUAGUAACGGUCUAUACAGAGCUUGGAUUGUAUAGUUGUUUCAUCCUUAGCACUUUAAAUGCCCUUCGCCUAAUCACCUCCUCCUUAAUCCUUCACCUCCUUAAGGGUGCCUUAAUUCAACUAACAUUUAUUAGGCACCCUGAGGUGCUUGUGCGUACUGCAGUGGCUUACAAUUGCUCCUAUGUGUCCCCUCCCUAGCACAAGGUCAGCUUAGUAACAAAAGAUGCUCAGUGAAUGUUGAAUGAUUAUGAGAAUCGGGAACUUUCUGUGGGAUGAAAGACCUUCAUUAUGAUUUCUUCAUAAUGAUCUGAAGAUUUUUUCUUUAACACCUUUCCACAACACUUAAACAUAACCUUUCAGGGGAAAGGAAAGGGCAUUAAAAUAUCUGUAUAACUAUUUCUGGAAUUCUCCUUCCUUUGUCCACACCCACCUUCCCACCCUUUGCCAACUGACUGUUCAUUUGAAUAGUGCUUUUUGGCAAAACUCCAAAAUCCCGCAUUUUGCACUGGUGAUGACACUGAAUUAGAUUACUGUCUGCAAGGUUAAUGUUCCCUCGGGCAUUAACCUUAGUAAAUCGUGAUGCCUGUUUAGAAAUAGCUGAGGCCCAAAGGUUCAGCUUAAUUUAGACACAGGUAACUAAGAAGAGCAAGGAUAAACCACAGCUCCACAAUCAACUAUCCAUGUGCUUUCUCCACUGAAAAAUAUAAAUUUUAAUAAGAUGACAGUGCAUAUUCUGAAUGCUAAUUGCAACAAAACAGUGAUAUAAGCUAGAGCAAGGGACAAUUAUCUGGAGGACAGCCUUCUGGCAACUUCUAGCAUCUGCAAUGACAUCAAAUUCAGAUGUCAAAAUUAAAAACACCUCUGGCAGCAAAGAAGCAGACUCUCAGUAUUAGGCAGUGGGGAAACUGAUGACUGAAAAGGGCUGAAGGCUGGAGAUGACACCCAGUGGGGUAUGAUUGAUUGGUUUCCCUCUAGAGAUCUUAGCACUGUAAUUGGGAAACAACAGUCUAAAAUGGGCAGAAUAAAGAUCACUAUAAUUCUGACAGAAAUUGUAGUGAGGAGUAAGUUUUCUUUCUAGGUUAAACUUCUGGAAAUAAUUUUCAGCCCCAGUCUGGUAGCCACCAUUGUCUUGCUCACCUCCCCAAACACCAGCUCUAGACAUUCAGGUAACUUAUUUUUAUAAUUGUGGACUCAAAAGAAGUUGUAAAUAUAGUACAAGAGUCUCACCCUUGCCCUAGCACAAGGCCCUCGGUUUGAUCCUAGCACUGCCCCCCUCCCACCAAAAUAAUAAUAACUUGAAUAAAAUAUUCAUACCAAUCUUAUUUUUAAUAGCAAGAAAACUAGAAACAACCUAAAUGUACCUCACCAGGGAAUGGAUGAACAUCCAUAAAUAGAGUACUGGUUAGUAAUAAAAAAGAAUGAAUAUUUGAUUCAUGGAACAACAUAGGUGACAUCUAGCAAAGCUCUAUAUGAAAACCAGGAAGUUGACACUGGUACAUUACUGUUAACUAUAUUCCAGAAUUUCCUCAGUAUUCACCAUAUUUUUUUAACCUUCAUAGUUACACAUAAGUGUUUAUGUAGCUCAGUGCAAUUUUAUCUAAUGUAUGGAUCUGUGUAACAACUACAACAAAGAUACAGAACUGUUCUAUCACCACAAAAAAUUACUAAUACUACCCUUUUAGAUUCACAAAUUCCCUCCCACUCACUCUCUGUCCUCUGGCCACUAAUCUGUUCAUUAUAGGUUUCUCAUUCCAAAAAAUUUAAAUAAAUGGAAUCAUUUUUAUAACACAUGACUUUGAGAAUGAAG